Long non-coding RNA from Prionailurus viverrinus (fishing cat), 827 nucleotides. RefSeq lists it as uncharacterized. Lineage: Eukaryota; Metazoa; Chordata; Mammalia; Carnivora; Felidae. The record is from RefSeq and is a predicted model, not a curated record. The transcript has 6 exons.
AAGGGGCAACUGAGGAUUUGAGAGUAUAAGUGUCUUGCUCAAGAUCACAAAGCUGCAGCUGUGAACACAUUUCUUGUUGGUGGCCGUGACUUCUGUUUUCAAGCACUUCCAAAGAUCCUCCUGGUUGCUGAGGACCGUUCUACACUCCUGCCUUCAUAGCCCUAAGGCCAGCCUAGGCCAUGCCUUCAUUUUCCAGGAUUCCAUGCAGGAACUCUUGGACUCCCAACAAGCUCCCAUCGGAGCUUAACAGGGGUCACGUGUGAUCCAAGGAUCAGUUGGUGGAAAAUGGUGUUGCAAGCUGUGUUUCCAGUCUUGGGCAUUCACCUAUGAAGUGCAAGCUGUGGCAAGAAUCAACCUUCUAGAUCAAAGGGAUAUAAUCACAAAAGAAAAGGACGAAGCAUCCUCAAAUGCCUGAGAGGGAAAUCAGACCCUCUUCUCCUGCAUGCUUGCUCAAUGCCACACUACUGGUCAGUGUCACAGUUGAGAUCCCACGGCUCCAGCUAACGCACAGAGUGGAUGGAUGUUCAAUACAAUAUCCCCAGAGUAAGAAAUUCCAGACCAAAGUCAAGGCUGGACAGCUUCAUGGAUUAGCAUCUAUUAGAUGUUUCAUACUUGGAGCUUAUACCGUAAAGUAGCAUGGUCAACACACCAGCUCUUACACAUAGCACAAGGACUACACCUGCAUACUCUUGAUUUACUUUAAUGUUUUCUUUCCUACCCCAAGACUGGAAAAAGCACCAGUUUUGAGAUUGUGUCUGAUUUUUCAUCCCUUGUGUGUUCCUACAGCUUUUUCCUUCCAUGAGUCUUUAAUAAAAUGGCUGAACACA